GUCUAUGGCCAUACCACCCUGAAUGUGCCGAUUCCGUCUGAUCUCAGAAGCUAAGCAGUGUCAGGCCUGGUUAGUACUUGGAUGGGAGGCCACCUAGGAAGACCAGGUGCUGUAGGCA
This 118-nucleotide ribosomal RNA is filed under the name Pteropus alecto (black flying fox). The record is from RNAcentral. Lineage: Eukaryota; Metazoa; Chordata; Mammalia; Chiroptera; Pteropodidae. RNAcentral also lists the same sequence under 1 other name.